GAUGAACGCUGGCGGCGUGCCUAACACAUGCGAGUCGAGCGCAGGAAAUCGACGGAACCCUUCGGGGGGAAGUCGACGGAAUGAGCGGCGGACGGGUGAGUAACACGUAAAGAACCUGCCCUCAGGUCUGGGAUAACCACGAGAAAUCGGGGCUAAUACCGGAUGGGUCAUCGGACCGCAUGGUCCGAGGAUGAAAGGCGCUUCGGCGUCGCCUGGGGAUGGCUUUGCGGUGCAUUAGCUAGUUGGUGGGGUAAUGGCCCACCAAGGCGACGAUGCAUAGCCGAGCUGAGAGGGUGAUCGGCCACACUGGGACUGAGACACGGCCCAGACUCCUACGGGAGGCAGCAGUAGGGAAUCUUCCACAAUGGACGAAAGUCUGAUGGGGCAACGCCGCGUGAACGAUGAAGGCCUUCGGGUCGUAAAGUUCUGUUGUAAGGGAAGAACAAGUGCCGCAGGCAAUGGCGGCACCUUGACGGUACCUUGCGAGAAAGCCACGGCUAACUACGUGCCAGCCGCCGCGGUAA
This 524-nucleotide ribosomal RNA is filed under the name uncultured bacterium. Its description in RNAcentral is "partial 16S ribosomal RNA". It matches the Rfam family "Bacterial small subunit ribosomal RNA", at positions 28 to 523 of the family's 1533-position model. The record is from RNAcentral.